Molecule: RNA transcript, 2591 nt
Organism: Nycticebus coucang (slow loris)
Lineage: Eukaryota; Metazoa; Chordata; Mammalia; Primates; Lorisidae
Gene: MYL5
Gene name: myosin light chain 5
Exons: 6
Source: RefSeq, a predicted model, not a curated record
AGCCUCGAUUCGCUGUCUGCGUGUGAGUUCUUGUUCCUGGGUUCUUACGCCGGGAGGGCUCACGCGCCAAAACCAGUCGGCUCUACCUCGCCGGGAGGCUACCCAGUCCCUGGAUUUUAAGCGGAGGGUUGGCUCCGGGCCGGCCCUACCUCGUCCAGGCCCCAAGGCACACAGUUCCCGAGGACAGUGGUGGGCGCGAACCUGGGAUCCCCGGUACUGAGUGGGCCCAGCACAGCGGGUUCCUUUUGGACAGGCCUCUUGCCCAGUGGCGCCUUGGGACUCAGGCCAUCCGGGGAGAGCAUGGCGCUCCUGCCGUGCUCUGCGACCGCCAACGUGCUUGGUUUGGGGGGGAUUUUUUUUUGGUUGUUUUUUUUGUUUGUUUGUUUUGUUUUUUUGAGACAGAGUCUCACUAUGUCGCCCUCGGUAGAGUGCUGUGCCAUCACAGCUCACAGCAACCUCCAACUCCUGGGCUCAAGCGAUUCUCCUGCCUGCCUCCGCCUCCCAAAUACCUGAGACUACAGGAGCCCGCCACAACGCCCUGCUAUUUUUGUUGUUGUUGUGGCUGUCAUUGCUUAGCUGGCCCGGGCCAGGUUCAAACCCAUCAGCCUGGGUGUAUGUGGCCAGCGCCCUACCCACUGAGCUACUGGCGCCGCCUUUUUUUUUUUUUUUUUUUGUAGAGAUGAGUCUCACUAUAUUGCCCGGGCUGGUUUCCAACUGCUGGUCUCAAGCAAUCCUCCCACCUUGGCUUCCCAAAGUGCUAGUUUUGCGGGCAUGAGACCCUUUGCCUCGCCAACAAAGAGAACUUAACUAUGAAUCUACAGCAGUGAUUUCAAUCAGUGUGCUGCGGCACACUGGUGUGUGAUGAGAGGAGAUUAGGUGUGCCAUGAAAAUUUUUAAAGAACAUUAAUUUUCGAAAGAAGUUCAAAGCACAGCCAGCAGAAAGACCAAGAAGAAGGAGGGGGCUGCCCUCCGUGCCCAGAGAGCAUCAUCCAACGUCUUCUCCAACUUUGAGCAGACACAGAUUCAGGAGUUCAAGGAGGCCUUCACACUCAUGGAUCAGAACCGAGAUGGCUUCAUUGAUAAGGAAGACCUGAAGGACACCUACGCCUCUCUGGGUGGGUGCUGGGGCAGAGCACAUCACUUCUCAUAGAGAAGGCGAGUGAGGAAUGUCCACUGGGAUGCCCUCACUCUUCCUCCUUGAGUGAAGCCAGGGCAUUGCCUCAUAUGGCUGCCCCUGGUUUGGUCAGAGCUGGCAUGGAGCAUUCCAGGGGAAGACAGGGUGGGUGUUGGCAUAGUCCAAACAUGGAAACCCAGGGUGGACUGUGGGGCAGGGACCUCCAAAGAGGGUGAGAGACACCCCCUCCCCUGCAGAGCAGACCCCAAGCACUACACAGCCAGACACACUGCCUUGCCCAGCCUCCAUCCCCAGCAGGGGAUGUCCUUUUCCCAAGGCAGAAGGGCUGUGACUCUGGGUCCUGCCCUGGGAGCUGUGGACUGCUUCUCACCUGAGUGGGGACAGCAGAUCACCACAUCUCCCAGAAUUCUGUGCCUUCUCAGCCCUCAUCCUCAGCUCAUGCCAGCCUUAACCCAGACAGGCCUGGCCAAGCAUUUCUCAUUCCUGCCCUGGGCACUGCUCUGGGGCUGCCUGCCAGUGGAGCAGCAGGCACAUCAGCAAGAUCCAUGUCAAGGAUGAUGAGCUGGAUGCAAUGCUCAGGGAGGCCUCUGGGCCCAUCAAUUUCACCAUGUUCCUGAAUCUCUUUGGGGAGAAACUGAAUGGUACGGACACUGAGGAGAUCAUUCUAAAUGCCUUCAAAAUGUUUGACCCCGAUGGCAAAGGCAGCAUCAACAAGGAAUAGUGAGUGCUGGGCUCUGGGCAGUGUGGUGGUCUCCAAGGGCUCCCUGAUGUCCUUCCCCACCAGGAUAUGAGGGCACUCUGCCCCAGAGAGGGAUGGUUGACCCCCUGGGUGCCAAACCCACUCCCCCACCUCUGACCAGCUGCAGGGCUUGAGCAGCCAUCCCAGGAUUAGAGCAGCUAUUCCAGGGCCUGAUUCUUUGUAAUAACCAAUAACCAAGACCAGCCACAGGCACCCCAGGCUAUCCUUUCUCCAACUCAGGCUCUGUCUUUAGCCCCUGUUACAGACAGCUUCUAGUACCCAAAGCUGGGGACAGGCACUGCCCCUGGUCUCCCUUAGUCCUCAAGUGCCCUGAAACAAGUCCUCCAGAAGUGAUGACGCCUGAGUGGUGACCAUGGAGGUGCCCAGGAUACCUCAGGACCAUGCUUGCGGGGAAGGGUGGUAGUACAGCAUGGGGCCUCACCCUCUAGUCAGUCUCCUAGAGUGCCCACUCCCACCCCUUUUCUCAUAGCCUAAUUGGGCUGUUCACCUCCUCAUUCCCAGCUUCAAACGUCUGCUGAUGUCCCAAGCUGACAAGAUGACUGCAGAUGAGGUGGAGCAGAUGUUCCAGUUCGCCGCCAUCUACGCGGCGGGCAACCUAGACUACAAGGCGCUGAGCUACGUGAUCACCCACGGGGAGGAGAAGGAAGAAUGAGGGCCGCCGGCCACAGCUGGCUCAGUAAACACGACCCACCAACC